CAGAAGCUGUGAAGAGUUCAGCUCGGAGUCGGUCGAGAAGAAAAGAGGCUGCUGGGAGCGAGACAGAGUGUGCUGCCUGCGGGUGAGGUGGACAUUUGGAAGUGUGCCACCAUAGAAAUACAGAACAACGCCCCACAGACGUCUACUAACUGGACCGAAUUCAGACCGAAUGCUGCCGGUUACCUCCAGCUCCGAGGCGGCCGCGGGUUAGAUGUGGACGGUGCUGCUUCUCGUGAGCGAGGGAUAUUUGUUGUGUGUGCUGUGUGUCUCCGAUGCUUUGUACAUAGUUUUCUGAUUGCGAUUGUGUUUUGUGUCAAUAAAGCUCUAUCUUUGAAUAAA
This is a long non-coding RNA of Perca fluviatilis (European perch), 339 nucleotides long. RefSeq lists it as uncharacterized. Lineage: Eukaryota; Metazoa; Chordata; Actinopteri; Perciformes; Percidae. The record is from RefSeq and is a predicted model, not a curated record. The transcript is spliced from 2 exons.